This 305-nucleotide ribosomal RNA is filed under the name uncultured bacterium. RNAcentral's name for it is "bacterial SSU rRNA". It matches the Rfam family "Bacterial small subunit ribosomal RNA", at positions 338 to 657 of the family's 1533-position model. The record is from RNAcentral.
CCUACGGGAGGCAGCAGUGGGGAAUAUUGGGCAAUGGGCGCAAGCCUGACCCAGCAACGCCGCGUGAAGGAAGAAGGCUUUCGGGUUGUAAACUUCUUUUAUGAGGGACGAAACAAAUGACGGUACCUCAUGAAUAAGCCACGGCUAACUACGUGCCAGCAGCCGCGGUAAUACGUAGGUGGCAAGCGUUAUCCGGAUUUACUGGGUGUAAAGGGCGUGUAGGCGGGACUGCAAGUCAGAUGUGAAAAUUAUGGGCUCAACCCAUAACCUGCAUUUGAAACUGUGUUUCUUGAGUACUGGAGAGG